GCUGGUGUAGCUCAGAUGGUAGAGCGACGCACUUGUAAUGCGUAGGUCGGGGGUUCGAUUCCGUCCACCAGCUCCA
RNAcentral lists this transfer RNA (76 nucleotides) under Ruminococcaceae bacterium OttesenSCG-928-A11. RNAcentral's name for it is "tRNA-Thr". It matches the Rfam family "tRNA". From Rfam's summary of the family: Transfer RNA (tRNA) molecules are approximately 80 nucleotides in length. Their secondary structure includes four short double-helical elements and three loops (D, anti-codon, and T loops). The record is from RNAcentral. Lineage: Bacteria; Bacillati; Bacillota; Clostridia; Eubacteriales; Oscillospiraceae.